RNAcentral lists this ribosomal RNA (354 nucleotides) under Triticum aestivum (bread wheat). RNAcentral's name for it is "partial small subunit ribosomal RNA". Lineage: Eukaryota; Viridiplantae; Streptophyta; Magnoliopsida; Poales; Poaceae. The record is from RNAcentral.
AUGCUACCUGUUAUGAAGGCUGAGGCGAGCAUCAUGGAGAUGAGCAGGCGAGUGGCUGAUACAGAGAGCUCCUCGAACAGGGAAGAGGCAUUGCUGGAGGAACUCGAAGAUGAGCUAGUCAAUUUUGGUUCCGAAGUCAUGCCUUUGCCUUGCUAUUGUGCUGAUAUUGGAUGCAACAUUGUGGACCUUUGGUUCGAGCAUGCCAGCAUGGCCACGGAUUGUAGGGGAGGAAUGUAUUGCCUAAUGAGUUGUAUGCUUUCUUCGGAUCCUCUGUGCUUCCUAUCACAUCUAUCUUGGCCACCUACAAAUUCUUGGGUCCAGGUGAGCUCUCCCUCCACUCCAAGUUUUGCUUGA